This 274-nucleotide ribosomal RNA is filed under the name uncultured bacterium. Its description in RNAcentral is "partial 16S ribosomal RNA". It matches the Rfam family "Bacterial small subunit ribosomal RNA", at positions 523 to 796 of the family's 1533-position model. The record is from RNAcentral.
AUACGGGGGGUGCAAGCGUUAAUCGGAAUUACUGGGCGUAAAGCGCUCGUAGGCGGCUUGUUAAGUCGGAUGUGAAAGCCCCGGGCUCAACCUGGGAACUGCAUUCGAUACUGGCAAGCUAGAGUAUAGUAGAGGCAAGUGGAAUUCCGGGUGUAGCGGUGAAAUGCGUAGAUAUCCGGAGGAACAUCAGUGGCGAAGGCGACUUGCUGGACUAAUACUGACGCUGAGGAGCGAAAGCGUGGGGAGCAAACGGGAUUAGAAACCCCUGUAGUCC